Molecule: ribosomal RNA, 484 nt
Filed under: uncultured bacterium
Lineage: Bacteria
Description: partial 16S ribosomal RNA
Rfam family: Bacterial small subunit ribosomal RNA
Source: RNAcentral
AUUGAACGCUGGCGGCAGGCCUAACACAUGCAAGUCGAGCGGAUGAAGGGAGCUUGCUCCUGGUUUCAGCGGCGGACGGGUGAGUAAUGCCUAGGAAUCUACCUGCUUGUGGGGGAUAACGUCCGGAAACGGGCGCUAAUACCGCAUACGUCCUGAGGGAGAAAGUGGGGGUUCUUCGGACCUCACGCUAUCAGAUGAGCCUAGGUCGGAUUCGCUAGUUGGUGGGGUAAAGGCCUACCAAGGCGACGAUCCGUAACUGGUCUGAGAGGAUGAUCAGUCACACUGGAACUGAGACACGGUCCAGACUCCUACGGGAGGCAGCAGUGGGGAAUAUUGGACAAUGGGCGAAAGCCUGAUCCAGCCAUGCCGCGUGUGUGAAGAAGGUCUUCGGAUUGUAAAGCACUUUAAGUUGGGAGGAAGGGCAGUAAGUUAAUACCUUGCUGUUUUGACGUUACCAACAGAAUAAGCACCGGCUAACUUCGUG